GAUGAACGCUGGCGGCGUGCUUAACACAUGCAGGUCGAACGGAAAGGCCACAGCUUGCUGUGGUACUCGAGUGGCGAACGGGUGAGUAACACGUGGGUGAUCUGCCCUGUACUUCGGGAUAAGCUUGGGAAACUGGGUCUAAUACCGGAUAGGAAUCACAUGUGGGUGUGUGGUUGGAAAGCUUUUGCGGUAUGGGAUGAGCUCGCGGCCUAUCAGCUUGUUGGUGGGGUAAUGGCCUACCAAGGCGUCGACGGGUAGCCGGCCUGAGAGGGUGUACGGCCACAUUGGGACUGAGAUACGGCCCAGACUCCUACGGGAGGCAGCAGUGGGGAAUAUUGCACAAUGGGCGCAAGCCUGAUGCAGCGACGCCGCGUGGGGGAUGACGGCCUUCGGGUUGUAAACUCCUUUCGUCAGGGACGAAGCGAAAGUGACGGUACCUGGAUAAGAAGCACCGGCUAACUACGUG
Molecule: ribosomal RNA, 466 nt
Filed under: uncultured bacterium
Lineage: Bacteria
Description: partial 16S ribosomal RNA
Rfam family: Bacterial small subunit ribosomal RNA
Source: RNAcentral